RNAcentral lists this long non-coding RNA (751 nucleotides) under Homo sapiens (human). RNAcentral's name for it is "non-protein coding lnc-TFEC-9:3". Lineage: Eukaryota; Metazoa; Chordata; Mammalia; Primates; Hominidae. The record is from RNAcentral.
GGCAACUUGGAGAACUUCCUCCUAUUCUUUAGGGCUGAUCUCACAGCAAACUAUAGAACCAUUGGGAGGCCGAGGUGGGCGGAUCACGAGGUCAGGAGUUCGAGACCAGCCUGGCCAACACAGUGAAACCCCAUCUCUACUAAAAAUAUAAAAAUUAGCUGGGCAUGGUGGCAGGCACCUGACACAACUUAGUACUUUUUUUUGAGACAGAGUCUUGCUCCAUUGCCUAGGCUGGAGUGCAGUGGUGUGAUCAUGGCUGACUGCAAGCUCCACCUCCUGGGUUCACGCCAUUCUCCUGCCUCAGCCUCCCGAGUAGCUGGGAUUACAAGUGCCCGACACCACGCCCAGCCAAUUUUUUGUAUUUUUAGUAGAGAUAGGGUUUCACCAUGUUAGCCAGGAUGGUCUCGAUCUCCUGACCUCAUGAUCCACCUGUCUCGGCCUCCCAAAGUGCUGGGAUUACAGGUGUGAGCCACCACGCCUGGCCAGCUCAAGCUCUUCCUCACAUGAUAGAGAACUACUUUGAGGAGGCUGUGGGAAUCACAUGUCUGUUGCUAACUUGAGUUCAGCCUUCUCUGUACUUACUUAUUCUCUUGACCUUGGGCUGUGCUGUCAAUUUUUUCUUUUCUGAGGGUUUUUUGAAAUGAACAUAAAAGGAAAUCCUUUCAAGACUGUUCAGAUCCUUGCUAUGCAAAAAUUGCAUUUGAAAGAGGUCUUAGAUAUGAUCUAAUGCAAUUCCCAAACUUUAUGUGGA